GGUGUGACAGAGGUGCAAAAAUUUGUCAGGCUGAAAAGUUUAGGAAGGGUGCUUGUGAAAAGAGUAUGAAUUAGAUGGAAUUGAUUGGACAAAAGUAGAUUUUGAAGACAACCAAGAGUGUUUGGAUCUCUUUGAGAAGAAACCUAUAGGGCUAAUAUCUUU
Camellia sinensis is the source of this 162-nucleotide long non-coding RNA. RefSeq lists it as uncharacterized. The record is from RefSeq and is a predicted model, not a curated record. Lineage: Eukaryota; Viridiplantae; Streptophyta; Magnoliopsida; Ericales; Theaceae.